This 199-nucleotide long non-coding RNA is filed under the name Coffea arabica (coffee). RNAcentral describes it as "long non-coding RNA (CARA_LNC001297)". Lineage: Eukaryota; Viridiplantae; Streptophyta; Magnoliopsida; Gentianales; Rubiaceae. The record is from RNAcentral.
AGCAACCUCACAACCCAACUUUCCCAACCCCUUAUACAACCAACAAAGAAUUUUUCUACUCAAAAAUCUCACUUGUAAGCUUGUAUUUUGUGUUGGCAAAAGUCUCUUGUCUUCUUGUGCUUUGGGGUUUUUAUAGAAGGUGAGAAAUGGCUCCAAAAGGCUCUCCAACGGUCAAAUAUUAAAUGCUGUCAAAACUAGC